GACGACGCUGGCGGCGUGCCUAACACAUGCAAGUCGAACGGGGUUACGAGAGCUUGCUCUUGUAACUUAGUGGGCGAACGGGUGAGUAACGCGUGAGAAACCUGCCUCUCAGUGGGGGACAACAGUUGGAAACGACUGCUAAUACCGCAUAACACUUUAGUACCGCAUGGUACAGAAGUCAAAGCUUUAUGUGCUGAGAGAUGGUCUCGCGUCUGAUUAGCUAGAUGGCGGGGGUAACGGCCCACCAUGGCGACGAUCAGUAGCCGGACUGAGAGGUUGAACGGCCACAUUGGGACUGAGACACGGCCCAGACUCCUACGGGAGGCAGCAGUGGGGAAUAUUGGGCAAUGGGCGCAAGCCUGACCCAGCAACGCCGCGUGAGGGAAGAAGGUUUUCGGAUUGUAAACCUCUGUCCUAAGUGAAGAGCAGAAGACGGUAGCUUAGGAGGAAGCCCCGGCUAACUACGUG
Molecule: ribosomal RNA, 468 nt
Filed under: uncultured bacterium
Lineage: Bacteria
Description: bacterial SSU rRNA
Rfam family: Bacterial small subunit ribosomal RNA
Source: RNAcentral